GACGAACCACACGAACGUUAUUCGGAAUCACUGGGCUUAAAGGGUGCGUAGGCGGCGCGGAAAGUAGGGUGUGAAAUCCCUCGGCUUAACCGAGGAACUGCGCCCUAAACUACCGUGCUCGAGGGAGAUAGAGGUGAGCGGAACUUAGGGUGGAGCGGUGAAAUGCGUUGAUAUCCUAAGGAACACCGGUGGCGAAAGCGGCUCACUGGAUCUUUUCUGACGCUGAGGCACGAAAGCUAGGGUAGCGAACGGG
This 253-nucleotide ribosomal RNA is filed under the name uncultured bacterium. RNAcentral describes it as "partial 16S ribosomal RNA". It matches the Rfam family "Bacterial small subunit ribosomal RNA", at positions 524 to 776 of the family's 1533-position model. The record is from RNAcentral.